CAUAUAUACAUACCGUAUUCAUGAAAUACAAUAAUAGUGUAUUUUAUUAUAAAAUAAAAAAUAAUGUUAUCGAUUUGUAUCAACUGCCAUAUAAAUCUAGUACGUCCUUCCCCUGGCAGCCCUAGUGGCUCUCAAACGCGUCCUCGUGUAUCAGAAACAUAACGCAUAGUUGCUGCAAAUAAAAACCUAUGAUAUUUGAAAAUGAGAAAUCUGUCAAUUAUUCACAACCUCUAAUGCUUAAAGUAGCGCUUAGAUCAUAACCUGCCAUAUAAACCUGGUACGUCCGUCCCCUGGCAGCCUAUGUGACUUUCAAACUUGGUCUCAUUAUCCUGGAACAUUACACAAAUGCAGAAAUAUAAAUCUUUUUUGUUUCUAACAAUGACAACGUGACGAGUUCACAAUGACACUAAAACGAGUGCUUAGGUGACUCUAAUAUGCUUGAAUAAGAUUUCCUGUAUGUCAUGUUUAGCGUCAAUUGCAAUGCUAAAACGGUCUUUCCUAUAAGUCUACUUAGCUAUUGCCCAAUUCUCAUUUUCUGCAUUGGUUUAAAUACAUUUGUUCAUUAUACUAAUACAUAUUUAAUAUUAAUUUUAAUUCACAUUUGUAUCAACUGCCAUAUAAAUCUGGUACCUCCUUCCCCUGGCAGCCCUAGGGGCUCUCAAACGCGUCAUCGUGAAUCAGAAACAUAACGCAUAGUUGCUGCAAUUAAAAACCUUUGAUAUUUGAAAAUGAGAAAUCUGUCAAUUAUUCACGACCUCUAAUGCUUAAAGUAGCGCUUAGAUCAUAACCUGCCAUAUAAACCUGGUACGUCCGUCCCCUGGCAGCCUAUGUGACUUUCAAACUUGGUCUCAUUAUCCUGGAACAUUACACAUAUGCAGAACUAUAAAUCUUUUUUGUUUCUAACAUUGACAACGUGACGAGUUCACAAUGACACUAAAACGAGUGCUUAGGAGACUCUAAUAUGCUUGAGCAAGGUUUCCUGUAUGUCAUGUAUAGUGUCAAUUGCAAUGCUUAAACGGUCUUUCCUAUAAGUCUACUUAGCUAUUGCCCAAUUCUCAUUUUCUGCAUUGGUUUAAAUAAAUUUGUAUAUUAUACGAAUACAUAUUUAAAAUUAAUUUUAAUUCACAAAUAAAUAUAUAAUUGUAUAAAUAACUUAUUCUAAACAUGACAAAAGAUGUACAAAUAUAACAUAACACAUAAAACAUGUAUUAAGCCAUUAAAUAAUAAAUAAAAGUUACAUAAAUACACUAUGAUACAUUUUUUUCGCUGCUAUAUAAACCUGUUACGUCCGUCCCCUGGCAGCCCACGUGACUUUCGAACGUGGCCACGCGCUUCUUGUAGAUAACACAUAUCAAUAAUUAGGUCGAAUGAUGUUGUUUUUUUUGACCAUGCGAUUAUUUGACAUGACAAAUAAUGUUUAUAAUACCGCUAAGGUCAUAAACUGCCACAUGACCCUGGUACGUCCGUCCCCUGGCAGCGCAAGUGACGUUUAAACGUGGCAAAGUUACUCUAGAAUGUACUUACCUGACAGCAUGUAGUGUUGUCAUGCCAUUCUUGUGCUGUCUGCACAUGUCUUUCGGCGCACACUCUGUCUGUCUUUAGUCUUUUUUAGAUGUACGGUUCUUUGGAGAAACCGUAUGGUCUUUUUUUUAGUAUGUGCUGUUUUUCUGAGAAUCAGCACGAUUUAUUUCCUUUAAUACAUAUGGUUCUCAUUGCGAGCCGUUUGGUGAUGUUAAAUGUGCGAAACUUUUCUUAUAUUUCCUUAUAUAUGUGUGUUUAUCCAGAAAAAAAUCACGUUUUGCCUUAAUGUAAGACUUUUCGAAGAAACGGUUGGGUCUUUGAUUUAAAAUGUUUGGUUCUCCCUUCAAAACCGUAUGGCCUUCGAUUGUAUGCAAAAUUGUAUAAAACAUUAUACGGGGUUUUUCUUCAGUAUGUACAGCUCAUCUGAGAAAACAUAUUAGUUUAAUAUCGGACAAACAUGAUAGUUCUGACGUAAAGACAAAAGCUAUGGUACUAUUCAAUUACACGGUUGCACUUACAAACGUAUUUUUUAUAUUUUUAUAAUUAACCUCACUCUCAACUAAAAGUCAGGUACGUUUGAGUUGCCUCUUGCUUAAUUUAACGUUGCUUGUUUGUUUUAUAUUAUCGACCGUGAAAUUAAAGGAAUCAAAUUUGUAUUAAUAAGUGAACACAUGUAACAUGAUGUUAAAAACUCUGAUCUGUUUAAGAUAUUUGUUUGCAUGAUUUUGCAUGCAUGACAUUGCUCAAACAUGUUUUAAUUUAUGUUUAGCGUGUCGAAACGUUUAUCGGAUCUUUUUCUAUUUAGUAACUUUAUCUCACACUUUCAAACUAGCCUUACCUUAAUAUGAACAUAAUUUUAAGAAAAUUAAGGUUUUGACAUAAUCAUGGCCUUUUGUCGGGAGUUGUCGCACAAAGCACAUACAGUAACAGUCUUUUAGUUUGUUCGACGUAUUUUUAAAUGGUAAAUAAACUCUCAACUUGUCAUCAAUCAAAGCUUUGAAUUCAAACAGUUUCGGCCUAAUGACAAUCCAUUGUAUAUUCGUGUAUAAUAUAUACUAUUUCCUUUGUAUAUUUGUUUACAAUGUUUAACGUAUUAUACAUUUGUAACACUUUUUUAGUUAUAUCUCUGUUUUAAUUAUGUAUACGAUAUUGAGUGCGUUUGUAAUUCUUAAUGAUUUUUUAAUAAAUAUAUUGUUAUUCGCAUUGAAGACUUACAGUUGAGAUUAAACUUGAAUUUUAUUUGCUCAAAAAUAUAAUGAAUUUUAUGCAAAGUACAUGCCAAUCUGUUCAUGAAAAAGAAAUCUCCUACCCGGUAACGUACUGUCGAUGUUGACUUUGUUUCAGAACUGUACGUAUUGUACUUAAGGUUGAGUUCAGUAAUAUAACACAUUUGAUUGUACUGUAUUUCACUGUAUAGUGUUGUCUAUGUUUAAUAUUUUUGUUUAUAUUAAAGUAAACUUUUAUACUUACCUGUGAUAUGUUAAAUUGUUGUUUUGACUAAAUUUGGAAAAUCAA
This is a long non-coding RNA of Dreissena polymorpha, 3036 nucleotides long. RefSeq lists it as uncharacterized. The record is from RefSeq and is a predicted model, not a curated record. NCBI's taxonomy places the organism in Eukaryota, Metazoa, Mollusca, Bivalvia, Myida, Dreissenidae. The transcript has 2 exons.